This 11335-nucleotide long non-coding RNA is filed under the name Homo sapiens (human). Its description in RNAcentral is "HSALNT0197479". Lineage: Eukaryota; Metazoa; Chordata; Mammalia; Primates; Hominidae. The record is from RNAcentral.
CACUCCAUAAUUUAAUCAACUGAACCAGUCCCUUCCUGUUAACAGUUCAACUGUUAAAGCUGCUUCCAGCAUUUCAGCAUCACAUAUAACACUGCAAUUAACCUGAAUUUGGUGGAUCCAAAAUAACAGCUUUCCUAGAUACAUCCACUAGACAGAGUGGGAUGCAGUAAGAUUUUACACAUGACUGAUAUCUCUCUUGGAGAAUGCAAGAGUCUGUAACUACCUGAGUCUCCACAAACAUAGCCAUGUCCAUGAACAUCUCAUGCAACUCUCGGAUGCUGGUCUCCAGCUUCAUGAUGUCCUUGUGACGUGACUCGAUUUCAUUGAGAGCUUGUCUAGUAAUUUGUGAAUCUGAUAUAAUCUUGGAAAAACAAAAAUAAAAGAUAAUAUUAAUAAACUUAUGAUGGGUUUGGAAGUUAAAGGGUUUUUAAAAAGCUCUGUCUACAGAAGAGGACAUGGAGCCACAGGGCCGCACCCCCACUCACGUCGGAAGUGAAGAUGGAUGGCUUCCCGCUCUCCAGCAUCUCUUCUAGCUCGUCGUCUGUGGUGGUUCUCCCAGCUGAAAGACCCGCAACCACAGCCCCACUCAGAAUGCAGCACAAUUUAAAAACAAAGCCAUUUGCAACCAUAAGUUAGCAACUACAAUCAUAGUUGUUAGCAUUUUUCAGUAAUUUUUUUAACCUUUUCUUAAGCAGAUAUUGACAAUGAGAAGUGAACCUAAGAUUGAGGAGCAAGAAGAAAUAAAAAUACUCCGAGAAACUUUGUAAAUGUUAUAAACAAUAAAAUUUCAUUUUAAUAUUAGUGAGAAACAACUGCAGAAAGGAAAUCGGUAAACAAUGUCUCGGCACACUGGUUUCCCUAAGAGUUUAACUCCGCCUCAUGUAAAAGGGGGUUGAGCUGAAUGUAGCAUGUAUUAAAUGAGGAUCAAUAAAGUCCACGUAAUGAGAGUCAGAUGCCUGAACACUUUCCAUGUUUGGAAGUUAAUGCUUUCCUUUUGAGUUAAAUGUGUAAUGACUUCGAAGAAACAUGUACACAGGUUUUGGAAACCUAAUUGUUAAUUACUAUUUUUCAUAGUUUGUGCCACAGAAGACAAAAGUAAAUGAAUAAAUGUCAUAAUUCAAAUGUCAUCUAAUAAGCAGCAUUAUUCAUAAUUGCCAAAAAGUGGAAACAACGCAAACGUCCGUCCCCCGAUGCCUGAAGGAGCUAACUGCGGUCUAGCUGCACACUGACAUACGACUCAGCCACAAAAACAAAGGACGCUUUUGGUUUUUGUCGCUUUGUUUUUUGAGACAGGGUCUCACUCUGUCGCCCAGCCUGGAGUGCAGGGGCACCGUCGCAGCUCACUGCAACCUCUUCCUCCCGGGUUCAAGCAAUUCUCAUGCCUCUGACCCCUGAGUGGUGGGGACUACACGCGUGCGUCACCACGCCCGGCUAAUUUUUGUAUUUUUAGUAGAGGUGGGGUUUCACCAUUUUGGCCAGGCUGGUCUCGAACUCCUGACCUCAAGUGAUCUGCCCACCUCAGCCUCCCAAAGUGCUCGGAUUGCAGGUGUGAGCCACCGUACCCAGCCCUUUUUAUUUUUUUAACAAAGAUACGGUCUCACUCUGUCACCCAGACUGGAGUGUAGUGGUGCAAUCUCAGCUCACUGCCGCUUUGACCUCCUAGGCUCAAGCAAUCCUCCUGCUCCAGCCUCCCAAGUGACUGUGAUUAUAGGCACACACCCAUGCCUGGUUUAUUUUUAUUUUUUUUUACAGAGAUGGGGUUUUGCUAUGUUGUCAAGCUGGUCUUGAACUCCUGGCCUCAAGCGAUCCUUCCACCUUGGCUUCCCAACCAACACGCUGGGAUUAGUAUACAUGUGAGCCACCACACCCUGCCCACCCCAUGGUGAAACCUUGGAAAAACUGUGUUACAGGAAAGAAGUCAGUCACAGAACACAUAGUGUAUAAUUCCAUUUAUAUGAAACAUCCAAAAUGGGAAAAUGUACAGGAGUAAAAAGUAGAAUGCAGUUGUCUUGGGCUAGGAGAGGAAAUGGGGAAUGACUGGUGGUGGGUGUGAAGUUUCUUUUUGGGUUGAUAAAAGUGUUUUAAAUUGAUUGUGUGUGGAAAUACACCAAAAACCACUGAAUUAAUUGUAUGCUCCAAAUAUCAUUCACAUAUUAAGAGAUUUACUUCUCAAUAAAGUUGUUGAGAUGUCAUUUAAUGAAAAAAGUUUUAAAGUUAGUAAAUUGCAAAAUUUGUUUACUUACACUAUUUUUUGGGAGGUAAUUCUCAAUCAUUUAAAAAUCUAUUUGAGAGCACACAUGGUGGUUUACAUGUAUAAUCCCAGUGCUUUGGGAGACCAAGGUGGAAGGAUUGCUUGAGGCUAGGAGUUUGAGACUAGCCUGGGCAACACAGCAAGACCCUAUCUCUACAAAAAAUAAAAUAAAACUUAAAAAUCUAUUCAAAAUAGCUCAAUAAGGAGAUUCUCUGAGUUUUGCUUUGCUUUUUUAAAAACAUGAAACUUGUUCUAAAUAAUGUAAAAUAUAAUCAUCAAAACUAGAAAUUUCAGCUUGGGCAACAUAGUGAAAACCUCGUCUCUACAAAAAAUAAAAUUAGCCAGGUAUGGUGGUGUGCUUCUGUGGUCCCAGCUACUCGAGAGGCUGAGGUGGGAGGAUCCCUUGGAUCCAGGAGUUCAAGGCCACAAUAAGUGGUUAUCACAACACUGCACUCCAGCCUGGGUGACAGCGUGAGGCUCUCUCUCAAAAAAAAAAAAAAAAAAAAAAACAAACUAAAAGUUACAGUUCAUGUCUCACGUUCACAAAGGUCUUCCCACCGGCUAACUGCUAAGUCUAAGAAACAGCCUGGGGUUACAGAAUGUGAAAUGCAGUAUACAUUCGUAAUUCCUUAUCCAGAAUGCUGAAAUCCACAACAUUAUGAAAACUGGGUUUUCCUUAAGCUCGAUGUCAAAAUUCAAUGAGCGGCAAAAUCUGACCUAAACUGAGUCAUGGCUAUUUAUAAUCUUAACUCCUCCCCCUUACUGUGAAUACUCACAUUUCACUGGAGAGCUGUGUGAAUGUGCCUGAUUACAGGGUGCAGUCCUAGACCCCACCUGGGGAUUACAUAAUACACCUCUUAUACAUUGUACUAUCUUCCUAAAAUCUGAAAAAUUCUGAACUCUGAAACACAUACAGCCCCAACCAUUCCAGAGAAAGCACUGUGGACCUAUGUAACAUGCCCUGGUCCAAGAAGAAACUCACUUGCCAUUUGAAGAAACAAAGCAUACAGCACAGGAAAAGAUAUCCUGUGAUACAAGGUAAGAAACCUGCCUGAUGACAGGGCUGACGGAAGGAAGAAAGAAAGGGGACAAAAUGGUUUUAGGUGCAAGGAUUUGGAGAAGACCACUGUAUGAAGACAGCCCGCUGUGUGGCCAGAGUGACGCCAUCCUGAAGCAAAACCACCGUGAUGACCGAUGCUCGACUCGUGCAUGCCAAGCUGUUCUGCAAUGAGGUCUGAAGACGAUGCCUCCGGCACAGGCAACCUCUCAUCAAGAUGCUCAUCCAGCCUGACCAGUGGUCCCAAGUGUUGUCAAGCAAGUCAGAAGACAGGGCCGGCUGCACACGUUCUACCCUGAAAGCCUGCUGUAUAAAGAACACUUUCUGAGGGCAGGCGGCUGUGGGGUCCACCGUCUCUGUCUCUCGGGGGCUUCUGUUCGUACGUCCCUAGCCAAUGUUUCCUUCGAGAAACUGGAUUUGUUAGCCUCUUUCUUUGGCGUCUCAGCUCGCUCAGCCUUUGGGGGUGAGUUUGCAUAGACCUGCUCACUUCGGAAUAGCCACAUGGAGGGUUUAGAAUUUAACAGACUUAAAGGAAUUACUAAAAAAAACUCCCAACACGUAUAUGAUACUUCAUUGCUUAUAAGACACUUUCACAAACAGUACUGCAUUCGAUAGAGUAUGAUUGCAAGAGAAGAAACUGGAAAUGAAUUCUGUGGGCUGAGAUAGAAUAAUGUGGGAAAGAGAGAAGAGACUUAGGCGAUCUGAUCACGCCACCGGAUUCACAUGGGGAGUGAAGACAGGAUGGACCUGCAGGAGAGAUGGUGCGGGGCCUUCAAGCCCAGGCUGGGGAACUCUGUGCUAGAAAAGCGCUCACCACAGAGUCCCAGAGCAUAAAUCCUCACAGUGCAACCGGCUGCCUGUAAUGAUGACUUUCACUUUAAAAAGUACUAACAGAUCCCUGAAGUCAAAGUGGUUUGUAAAAACUUUUUCAUAGAAAAGCAGUCUAGUCGACAUCAUGAUUGAGCAUUUCUGCCAGGAUGGAGCAACAGGGACCGUAUUUUCCCUGCCACUUGAAAUAACCACAAACCCACCAAAAUCUACAAAACGAUUUCCAAGACACUGAGCAUCAGGCCACACACUGAUUCCCAACAGAUGGAAACAAGCCAGGUGAGCCUGCUGCUGCCCUCAGACGGAACUCUCGUGUCAGCCACAGAGCAGAAAGGGCCCAGGUGGAGCCCAGGGGAAGUCCUAAGGCAAAGGCACAGAGCUCAGGGGAGACCAAGGCAACUGGAUUUGCAAGAUGGAGUAUGAGAGAUGAGAGAGAUGCAGAGAGCGAGCUGCACAGACCCCGCAUGCUCACUGGAGUGCUGACCAGCAUGCCAGAGGGAACACGCUGCCAGGCAGACGAGGGUGCCAUGAGGUUCACGGCCAUCAGAGCAGGUGCUCAGAAGGGUCUUACCUCAGGAGUGAGGAAUGACAGGCCCUCAAAUAAAGCUGCUCUGCUCCCUCUAAAUGCAAGAUCCCAAAGGCUAAACCAUGCUCAUGUGAUUUAACUACAUUCUAAAACAAAGCCCAAGGAGAUUUACAAAAAUACUCAAAAUACAGAAAUACUCAGCACCCAACAAAGUAACGUUCACAAUGUCUGGCACACACUCGAAACUUACCAGGCUCGCAAAGAAGCAGGAAAACACAAGCCACAGAAAGGAAGGAAAUCAACCAACCAGAGCAGACAGGACACUGGAGUUGGCAGACAAAGACGGUUCAAGUUACUACAAGUGCGUCCCAGUUGUACAGUGGGGAGCAACACAGCAGACAUGUAAAACACCCAGCAGAACUAGCAACAGAAACCAGUGUCUCCGAUGAAACAUACACCAGAGGAGGUUAAAGGCAGAUCAGACAAGCAAGAGAAACUGACCAAAACCAAACACACUGGAAAAGAGUAUCUAAAACAUGAGGAGCCUCGCUGAGCUGUGGGACAAGGUCAAGCGGCCUGGCGGGCAUAUGACAACAUUCUCUGAGGGGGAUGUGCGGCGUUGGGAGCCGGGAUGGGCCUGAGGCUUCAUCUGACCUGCGAGCUGACACGCUGGCCUGCCAGGGCUCCGUGGGGGCCGGCAGAAGGUCCAAGGCCCCAGGUCAGGGACAAAGGGAUUUCCUACUCACAGCACAGCAGGCAACCUGAGGCUCAUGAGCAGCUGUCCACGGCCCCCAGUCUCAUGGGGAGAGGCAGAGCAGCUGCAGUGGGACGUCCUCACAGUGGGUUUGUGUCACAGCUGAAGGACCCGAGCUUGGGAACCCCAAUCUUUCACAAUGGGGAGUCUACAAACCUGACCAACCUUUAUCCCUGAAACAGACCCGUCUGUCCCCGAAGAAGGCGCCAUCUCCACUGCCACAGCCAACUGUCCCCAUAGACACCCCUGAAAAGAGUCUGGGGCAAUAGGGCCGCUGCCUCUGCUCACAGACAAGGAGAGAUGUGAGGAGCCAUGAAGAUGCCCCCGAACCAGGGCAGGGCGGGACUGAGGACACAGAAACACUCAAAGAGGAAAUGACUGAGCACUCUCCCAAUCUCCCUGAAACUCUAAAAGCAACAGCAAUGAGCAAGGUAAACCCCACCGCUUAGGACUUCCUGAAGACAGGAAGAACAGGUUUGCCUGACUCACGGCAUAGGAAGCUACGAGUGGUCUUUGGGUUUUACACUAUUGGUGAAAAUAGACAUGGAUUUCCUUUUCUGAAGUUAAAGUCAUUUGAAGUGAGACCUUAAGGGAGAAAAACAUGAUUUUAACAAAGACGGAGUCUCCAUUACUCACUUAUCUCCAGCUGGCGCUGGAUGCGGCCUUUGCUCCGCUCCCGAAACAGAGUCUGUGCCUCAUUGUACUCCGCCAUGGCUUCCACAAACUUCCGAGACAGCACCGAAUGCUAACAACACAGGAAAACUACAUUCGUAUCUGAGGGCCAUGCCUUCUACUGAAAGUGACAUGCAAGACAUGCAUUUUGGAAACUCAAACUACAUGUUAUUCUGCUCCUGCAAAUGGAAAAUGACAAUGGCAAAGUCCCCAUGGCAGCAUCUGUGCUAAGAACUUUGCAUGCAUGAUCUUACCUAAUUUUUACAAGACCCCUACUAUGCCGGUCACAACCCUACUUAAAGAAAACCAUGACUUUGAGGUCAUUAGCCCAAGGUCACAGGCUUUUCUGAUAAACACAGAUCAGCACUGGGACCCAGGCAGGUGGACCCCAGAGCCCGCGUGCUUCAUCGCCUUGUGCCCAUGAGGGGACCCAGGCAAGCGGACCCCAGAGCCCGCGUGCUUCAUCGCCUUGUGCCCAUGAGGGGACCCAGGCAGGCGGACCCCAGAGCCUGCGUGCUUCAUCGCCUUGUGCCCAUGAGGGGACCCAGGCAGGCGGACCCCAGAGCCCGCGUGCUUCAUCGCCUCGUGCCCUCGAGGCCUCAGGGCUCUGUCUUCCUCUGGGCAGUACCACAAACCACUAAAACGUGGCGGCCUUACCACAAACACUAAAAUCAUUUGGAUAAUUCCCUACUCUUUGGAAUAGAACUCUGUUGAUGGACCGAAUAGAUUUUUCUUCACAAUAAAGAGAUUUCUAUAAAUACUGUGAAAGGAAAAUAAAAUCGCAGGACCUCACACUCACUAUCCCAAAGGGACAGUUAAGCUUGGGAACUGAGUCAUGCAAAACACUGCCCUCCCUCCUCUUCUCAAACAGAUGGCUGCAGUGACAGAAGGCCGCACAUCGCCCCAGCAGCCUCCUGCACAAAGUGCUCACAAGGAAAUUCCUCGUAGGUCCCAGAAUCUUUCAGAAUCCAUAUCCCCCCCACCAAAAACUAACUCUAAAACAGAGUUCUGCAGAAUCUCACCCUGACAAUGUACAUUAGCCGCUUACCUUCACAGGUACAGGACAAAGACAAGACUAGAAGUCACCCUCGGCCCACCCUGAGAAAUGCAUGUAUAGCUCCUCCCUCACCUCAGGCUCACACUGGCCCACGUAAGAGGCGGAUCUGGGCACGGGAGGAGUGCAGAAUCGACCCCCACUCCUCUCUUCCCACAUGUGAAAUGUGAACGCAGUGAGCCCUGAGCAAAGCCUCACAGCAGUGUGGCCACCCCGCUGCCUACCCCCACUUUUUCUCUUUUUUUUCCCCUUUCCUCCUUCCUCUCCUGCCCGCUCUUUCCCCUUUAAAUACUGAAGUCCUCAAAACCCUCUUCAGGAAAGGCACAAACCACAGAUCCUACUCUAAUUUGUAUUUCUUUUCUCCAAGUGUGUCCUCAACUUUGGCAAAAUAAACCUCUGUCUCAGAUACUUUUGUUUUACAAUACUAUAUUAUUUUUGUGCAGAAAUACUAUGAGGAUAAGCAUGACAGUAAAGAUGAAAUUAUUCAGAGUCUGCAAGAAGAAAGUAAAAACACUUAUUCUGCGACAUUACUUUAAUCUAAACGAGGCUGAUAGCAAACCUGGGUUCUUCGUAUCCGAAGAUCCACUGAAGUCCGGUUCCCACUCUCAUCCUGAUCAAAACUUUGUUCAAUAGCUAGGAACAAAUAGGAAAUAAUUACCUUCCAAAUUUAAAAAUGAAAAUGUUCCAAGCCUGACUUCAAAUUCCUUUUAUUUCUUAUCUUUGAAGUAUCUUUAUAAAACUAAAGCUAAUGAACAAGUGACCUUCUAAAACAAUCUACUAAAAAGACAAUCCCUCAAUAGGAAAUUAUUUUCUGAGACAAGGUCUGGCUCUAUCACCCGGGCUGCAGUGCAGGGGCACAAUCUCGUCUCACUGCAACCUCUGCCUCCCAGGCUCAAGCAGUCCUCCCACCGCAGCCUCCCGAGUAGCUGGAAUUACAGGCGUGUGCCACCACAUCCAGCUAAUUUUUGUAUGUUUUGUACAGACGGGAUUUUGCCAUGUUGCCCAGGCUGGUCUCGAACUCAUGAGCUCAACUGAUCCGCCUGCCUUGGCAUCCCAAAGUGCUGGCAUUACAGGUGCGAGCCACUGCGCCCAACCCCAUCAAGAGGAAACAUGUAUAUGUAGAUACACACAGAUAUAUAUACAUACACACAUAUAUACACAGAUACACACAGAUAUAUAUACACACAUAUAUACAAAUACAUGGAAAACACACAUACAAAAAAAUGGAAACAUAACCAACAAACUUUAAAACUGGGUACCACUAAAGGGAAAGGAGAAACAAGGGGACGAUGAAGAAAGAAGCUAGACUCCGAAUAUGUUUUAUAUAUUUGACGUCAGAAUGACAUAAAUACUUCACAAAACUUAAUGCAAAAUUAAAUUUAAAAAAAUUAAUCCCUAAACUUCAAAGAAAAAAUAAAGCAAACCUAACAGUAAGUCAAGUUAAUGAUAUAAACAUACAGAGGAGCCGGGUGCAGUGGCUCACGCCUGUAAUCCUAGCACUUUGGGAGGCUAAGGCAGGCGGAUCACUUGAGGCCAGGGGUUCGAGACCAGCGUGGCCAACAUGGUGAAACCCUGUCUCUACUACAAAUACAAAAAUUAGCUGGGUGUGGUGGCGGGUGCCUGUAAUCCCAGCUACUCGGGAGGCUGAGGCAGGAGAAUUGCUUGAACUCAGGAGGCGGAGGUUGCAGUGAGCCGAGAUAGUGCCAUUGCACUCCAGCCUAGGCGACAAGAGCGAAACUCCAUCUCAAAAAAAUAAACACACAGAGGAAAAACUAUUCAAAGCAACUUUAAAACCCAGUAAUUUGUAGCUGGACACAGUGGCGUGUACCUGUAGUCACAAGUGCUCGGGGGAUCACUUCAGCCUAGGAGUUCGAGGCUGUAGUGCGCUAUGAUCACACUGGUGAACAGUCACUGCACUCCAGCCUGGCCAGCACAGCAAGACCCCAGGUCAAACAACAACAACAACAACAAAAAGUAAUUUGAUUAUCUAGCCCAGUGGGAUAUACCUAUAGACAAAAAGAAUGACACAAAAAAUAAAAAAUAAACCUUUAAGUAAUCAUACUCUUGACAGUAGAUGCUGGCAUAAUUAUUUUGAGUCUGUUGUGUGUGUACUAUGAAUAGCAAGUGAAUAAUUAUGUGUCAGUGAGAACCAGAAUUUGGGGCAUAGUUGAAAGGAAAUAAAGAUGUAAUAUUGCCCUUAUUAAGUAAAAAUCCUUUCAAAAAAAUUUUUAGUCCUUCCUUUAUUCUUAAUUUAAUUUGGAUUCUCAGUAACAAAUCAUGAUUCAUUUUAUCUUUUAAAAAAAUCUUAGCCCAGUCCACUGAAAAAGCCUAGGAAAGAAUGGUCAGGUCAUCGUCAUGUAUAGCAAUACAUUCCCCAGCAUGCUGACCUCGGUGUCUAGAUCACAUUCUUCAGACACAGGAGCAGGGCUUCCUGGGGAAAUGGCUGAUGCCAGGCCCAGGGAGGAAAGGGGUGAAAUGAGCAUGGGGACUUUUGUCACAGCAAAAAGUGGAAAGGCUGUCACAGACAAUGAGGGGCCUACCAAAAGGACUCAAGAGUCCACCCUACUAGCCAAAGAGACCAUCUGAGCAUUAAGGAUAAUGCAGCAAUGAAAACAUCAGAUGUGUUUAAAUCCAUGUGUUCACGAUGAUGGACGACAAGCAGCAACAGAGACUCUCCCUGGUCAUCUCUGGAGGACCCCAGGGAACUGACCUAUGAAAAUUAUACCAGAGAGAGAGAGAGUCCAACGCUGAUCCUCUCUGUCCUCCAUGAUCUGUGACCCAGAAUGUGCUUUGGCUCCCUUGGUUGGAGAAGCCAGGUCAUUCGUCCUACAGAACCUGCCACACUGCACAUUUUGCUGAUUUCACCCUGCAACACAUUCAGUAAGCUCUGCUGUCCUCUGUAUUUACUGUGGGCUCAUAGUUAAAUUCUCCAAACUACCCAAUUCAAGAGUUGAAGGGGAAAGGUUUCUUUUUAACUAUUCCAGCAACUAAACAAAGAAGGAAGAAUAAAAUCAGGAUAUUCAUGCUUGUAAUCCCAGCACUUUGGGAGGCUGAGACUGGCCCACCGUGCCAGGCCACCAUUAACAUCUUAACGUAACCAUGAGGACAUAAAAUCUGUAAUCAGAUGCUGCAUCUUUACAUUUUAAAAACCCACAAAAAACACCUGAAUCAGAUAAAGCUUGGAGAAUUUAACUACCAACCUACAGCAAAUUCAGAGGACGGCAGAGCCUAUUAAAUGUGCUGCAGAGGUAAAAUCAGCAAAAUCUGCAGCAUGGCAGAUUCUGUAGGACAAAUGACCUGGUUUCACCAACCAAAGGAAAAAGUGCAGAGAGAAAAAUCAUGAAGGGAGAAUCUCAUUUUUAAAAGCCAGGGUUUGGUCCUUAUUUGGGACUCAAUUCAAGCAAACUGUUUAAAAAAAAAAAAUCGUAAGACCACUGGGGAAAUUCUGCCUGGAUAUUCUGUACUAUUAAGUAAUUAUAAUGAAUUUGGGUUUAGAUAUAAUUGUGGUUGUGCUUUUGGGGAAGCUUCUGUUUUUGAAAUACACACUGAUGAAAUCUCAGAUGCCUGGGAUGGGCUUCAGAAUAGUCUGGGAGCGGGUGCGGGUGGGAGCUCAUGGAGAACUGUGGAGCUGGGGGGUCGGCUUGUGGUCGCCUCUCUCUGCUUCUGCACACAUCUGAAACCUGCCGUAAUAAAAGUAUUUUAUCAUCUGCACAGAGAUUGUUUUUGAUCUUGAUGCCAUUCUGCAAAAAUCAAAUACAACAUGUUUUCUACCAAAUCGAGAAAAAGCAACCUCUGUUUAAGUCCCCUGUUUUACAUGACAAAGCUAUAAGCCUCCCAAAAAACUACUGCUGCUAAAGUGGAAUGCCAAACAUCAUCGAAUAAAUUCUACAGAAAGUUUGAAAGAAAUGAGCAAUUAAAGGGUCCAUUCAAGAAGAGCCUGGCAACUCACCUUCCCAAACAUCUGCAACUUAGCCUGAAAUGUCAUCAAAAAUGUAACAGUAUAACAGUUUAUAAGCAAACACAUAACCUUUUUGAAUAUUAAUUAGUACUCUGAAUUACAUACAAAUAAUUUAUUUUAAAGCAGUCACUAUUUUAAUUUUUAAAAAUGUAAAAGAACAAAAACCAAUAAAGAAAAAAAUAACAAAUACCCAUACUCCCAACAUCAAUAAUUAAACAUAAAACUUCAAACUUAC